AGGACGAACGCUGGCGGCGUGCUUAACACAUGCAAGUCGAGCGGAAAGGCCCUUCGGGGUACUCGAGCGGCGAACGGGUGAGUAACACGUGGGCAACCUGCCCCUCACACUGGGAUAAACCUCGGGAAACCGGGGCUAAUACCGGAUACGACCUCGAGCGGCAUCUCUUGAGGUGGAAAGCUCCGACGGUGAGGGAUGGGCCCGCGGCCUAUCAGCUUGUUGGUGGGGUAAUGGCCUACCAAGGCGACGACGGGUA
RNAcentral lists this ribosomal RNA (256 nucleotides) under uncultured bacterium. RNAcentral describes it as "partial small subunit ribosomal RNA". It matches the Rfam family "Bacterial small subunit ribosomal RNA", at positions 26 to 285 of the family's 1533-position model. The record is from RNAcentral.